This 468-nucleotide ribosomal RNA is filed under the name uncultured bacterium. Its description in RNAcentral is "partial 16S ribosomal RNA". It matches the Rfam family "Bacterial small subunit ribosomal RNA", at positions 28 to 507 of the family's 1533-position model. The record is from RNAcentral.
GACGAACGCUGGCGGCGUGCUUAACACAUGCAAGUCGAACGGAAAGGCCCUGCUUUUGUGGGGUGCUCGAGUGGCGAACGGGUGAGUAACACGUGAGUAACCUGCCCUUGACUUUGGGAUAACUUCAGGAAACUGGGGCUAAUACCGGAUAGGAGCUCCUGCUGCAUGGUGGGGGUUGGAAAGUUUCGGCGGUUGGGGAUGGACUCGCGGCUUAUCAGCUUGUUGGUGGGGUAGUGGCUUACCAAGGCUUUGACGGGUAGCCGGCCUGAGAGGGUGACCGGCAACAUUGCGACUGAGAUACGGCCCAGCCGCCUACGGGCGGGAGCAGUGGGGAACAUUGCACAAUGGACGGAAGCAUGAUGCAGCAACGCCUCGUGCGGGAUGACGGCCUUCGGGUUGUAAACCGCUUUCGCCUGUGACGAAGCGUGAGUGACGGUAAUGGAUAAAGAAGCACCGGCUAACUACGUG